AGUUGAAACCUAUUUUAAAAUUGCAUUACAUGAAAUAUACAUUCCAAUACAGCCAGUAUUCAUCUUAUUUCAUUUCUAAAAUGGUUUUUAUCUCUCAAGUUCUAUAACAUAAAAAAUUAGACUAUAUUAACUAUUGAACUGAUUGUUUUUUAAAAUAUGGUUUUUUUGGGGGGGUUGUACCAAAGAUGGAACUCAAGACCUCUCCCUUGUCAGGCAGGCAUGGUGCCACUGAGUUACAUCCCAGCAUUAAAAUAUGUAUUUUUUACUUUUAUUAAAAUACACAGGAAAUGUUAGAAAAUAAAAGCCUAUGAAAUUAAUGCAGUUAAUUCUGAUUUUCAUACGGCAGUUUUAAUUUUUCUCAAAAACUAUAAUCCAAAUUUAGAUAGACAUGCUCACACUUUUUCUGAAGGAAUUUUGUUAAAUUUUAUUAUAUUUUGAUGGACUUAUAAUAAUGUUCACUAUACAUAAUAUUACAAAAGAAAUUAUGACAAACAACCUUGAUUUAUUGUCAUUGCUUUCUUACUUGUCAUGAAAUAUCUUAUAAUAAUUCCAAUUUAUUUAUAUAUUGACUCAAGUUUUUGAGUCAGAAAUUUUGCAAGACAAAGUAAUGUUUCUACCAGUUUUUGAAAGAUUGCUCCUCAGAAAAGUUAUUCAAAUAUUUGUUUUAAUAGAAAACCUUAGAUUAUUUUCUUAUUGAAAAGGAUUAUGGGGCCUGCCAAAGUGGCUCAUACUUGUAAUCUGAGCAUUCUACGAGGCUGAAGCAAGAGGAUUGCAAGUUUUUGCCCAAUCUGGGCAAGUGAACAACUUAAUGAAAACCCUAUCUGAAAAGAAAGUAAUUUAAAAGUAUUGGUGAGGUAGUACGCUGUGAAGGCACCGAGUUCAUACCUCAGUAAAACACACAUACACACACACAGACACACACACACACACACACACUUUAUUCUAAUUCAUGAAUUGUUUUGACAAAUGACUAGUUUUGCUAAUUACAAUAUAUAGGAGAUAUUCUUCACAAAAUGAAUAAAUCUACAGGUAAAAUAAGUGUUUGAGGAAACAUUUAUGAAAUGUUCAUGAGUUUAUAAGAGUUUAUGAAAAAUUAGAAGAAUGUUUGCAAGAAAUACUGUAGUCAGUGGUAGUAAUUAUAUACAUAUUAUUUUCCCCCAAGAUUUCUGAAUGUAUCAUUUUGAGCAGAAUGUCUCCAGUGAAGGAACAGCAAGUAUAAAUGAUUCUCAUUAUUUGUCAUAGUUGUGUUCUAUAAAGUCACAAUAAAUACUAAAUUAUUGAUUGCUGAAUCACUGCUCCUAUGGGAAAUACAGAGUUAAGUAGAGCCACUGGUCACAGCACUUCCAUCAGUGAAUCAAUAAAUUACACUGAAUUCACAGCCAACAGCACUGUAACUCAUCCUUAAAUGAAGCUUCUCUAACAUCCAUAUUUCCCCUCAUAAGGUACAUCACACCCUUCUUGUACUUAGGAACAUUAGAAAGCAUGUCAGUACUAUGCUUGGGGAGUAUUUUAAGCAGAAAAAAAAAUACAAAUCAAAAUGCAUCACAAUUCAAAAAGUAAAAGUGAUGCUGAAUACAUAACAAGUAAUUCAUUUGUAGCUUGUAAACUGAAACAAGAGAGGCAGCCAUCGUUCUGUUUGACCACAACUGGAAACAUGCAUGUCAAACAGCUCAAACUUGUUGCCAUUCUAGAAAUGGCCAAUGACAAUAAAAGUGUCAUGAAUAUUGAUUUGAGGGUGAUAAAUAAAUAUUAUCAAAUAGAUAAUUCACAAAUAUAGAAUCCACACAGAAUUGAGGAUUGACUCUAUUUUGGUAUGAUUUCCAGAAACUUCAAAAGGCUUUUGCAAGUUAGUACACAAGCAAAAACUUCUCAGCCAGUACUCCUUUGGAUGUAACAUUUUGAGGCAAUGGUCUUCCAGGUUCAGCCUCCCAGGGUGCUGAAAUUUUGUAUAGAACAAUCCUCAUAUAUGUCCCUACUUUGCUGUGUAAUUUCUACAAUGAUUACUUCACACCUUUUUUACUUAUGUCAAACCUUUGAAAUCAAAAGUUCUGUCAUUCUCAUAAAUACUUUUGCCUUCUGAAACUCUAUUGCUUGAUCAAUGUUUUAUAUUCUUUCCAAUAUACAAAAUAUUUAUCUGUACCUGAUUACUCUAUAUCAAAACUUUCUAUUUGCUUCUCUGACUCUCUCAUUAGACUACAAAUUCCAGAAGGCAGGAGUUUUGUUUUUAAUGUUUAUUAUUUUAUCCACUUUAUUUAUCAGGGUUACAAAAUUGUGAUAAAAACAAAAAGGUUUAAAAAUAGGUAAAUAGAAUUUUUGUUUACACAACACAGUUGAAUAAAUAAAAGCAAGACUUCACACUGAUACAAACAUAUAAAACUGUUUUACCAAAAGAACAUAAUGUUUAUUGGAGUGAAAAAGAAAGGGAAAUUUUUGGAUGUAAAAAUAAAACUCAAUGGGGAAAAAAAUAAGAACCAAGAUGCAUCAUGUACAGGUACAAACACCCAAUGAUAAAUGUAAAUGAAUUGUAUACCUAAAAUGUACCAGUAAAAGAACUUAGAAAAAAAAAAACUCAAUAGUAAUUCCAGCAGGCUACUCCUCAGAAAAAUAAAGGCCAGAGACAUUGGAAGAAUAUCUUCAGAGUUUACAGGAAAAAUAAAUGUUAACCAGAAUCUUAUAUACAGAUAAAUUAACAUUAAAUAAUUGUUCUUAAAGUCUUUUUUCAAUCAGAGUCAAGAUAAAAUUCACAAUCCCUCAUUGAAAAUAUUGCUAAAAGGAUAAACAUAUUGAAGAAAAUUGAAUUUUGAAGAUGAAUAGAAUUAAGUAGAAUAACUGAAAUAAUUCUGUAAAUAGGAAACCCCAAACAUUAUUGCUCAAAAAAUAUAGCAACAACAGCAACAACAAUAAAAUUAACAACAACAACAGUAACAACAACUGUGACAACAAGGACUGAUCUUGUGAUGAAGUGCUAUUGAAUGUUAGCAUUAUGUAUACUUCUUACCUUCUGGACAAUUGUUUCUCUUCACCUCAUUUUGACUAUAAAUAAUUUGGUCAAACGUCAUGUCUGCGUCAGGCAAGAAUUCCUCAACAUGAUUUUUUACCUUUUUAAAUUAUCCUUCCUCUUCCUUUUAUAUAUGAAUAUUGAUCACAGACACCAAAGACUCUAUAAGUAGAUAAUCAAUUCCAGUACUGUAUUAUGGACAACAAAUUUCAAAUACUGCAUAUCAACAACAGAAAACUCAAUUUUUUUAUUUACUAUUUGAUAAAAACAAUGUAGAUGGUAAAGACAGUAUUAAACUUAAGUCACUGAAGAGGAUGAUUCAAGUUCAAGAAAACUUACUACUCUUCUGACCUUGGACCUAACCACUUCGGCCCUUUAUUGUCUUCUAAAGAAAAGAUUAAAAUGUUUUUUGCUCACCCCAUUGACUUUGGAAAACACAUAUGCAAAUCACUGAAAAUAUAUGAAGGACAUUUGUAACAACAUAAUGCCGUCCAAAUGCAAAGAAAUACUACUCUGGGACACUAGCUUUAAGACACGUAGAUUCAAGCUUUCUUCAAAAAAUCCUUCUCCUAGAUGAAUUUACUUUUUUAGAAGUCUUUCUUCUUGAACUGAAUUGUCAAGAGUUGAGGCUGGACUUAGAAACUAGUGAAAUUGUUACUUAGCUAUCAAGCACAUAGCGAUGAUAUUCCAAAUUCUAUGUCUCAUGUGGGGUCAAACUAAAAAAUAGUUUAGUUCACAUCAAACAGGAGAGGAAAAUGAGAGCCUCUGUGAGACAAGAUUGACAGAAAUUUCAGAAAGCAAAGUCUUAUGCUUUUGUAAGAGCAAAGAAUCCAGUUGGAGGGAAUCCUUAUGGAUUUCUCUGACUUGCAGCAGUAAUAAGGAGAGACUGAGCACAUUCAGACAUGGUCCAGUGCAAAAUAAGAAAAGCUACAAUACUGCUUUUAUUUGCCAUUUAUCUGUUAGAUACUUAUCUAUUUAUCUGUUAGAUGGACUUAUUCCUCUGUCAAUUGAGACCCAUGACAAAUUAGAAAAAAGUAAGAAAAUCAGGAUUAAAACAAAGAGUGUGAAAUCUUGAAAUCAAUUUUAAUGUAUUGAUAUUGAAUCAUAACAUUGUAUUCAUUUAAUAAUUAUUUUUAAUUCUAUCUUCCCCAUAACCACACCCAAAAUAAUAAUAGGUACAGAUAGAAAAAUAGUCUGAAGUCUUAAAAUAUUUUUAAAUAAAGGUUUUGUUAAUGAACAGAAGGAAAAAUGGAACAUUUUGACUUAUUCUGGGCAUAAUGUUAAAUUUAUUUAAAAAUUCAAGAUGAUAUAAUUUCUUUUAAAAUUAUAUUCUUAUAUUAGUACUACACUUUUGAAAAUUAGAGUUAAUGUGGCAUUUUGACCACCACUGUCCAACAGAAAUAUAAUUUUGGACAUAUGUACAACUUUAAAUUUUUAUUUAACCUAAUGUAUCUAAAAUAUUUUCACAUAUAAUCAAUAUAUUUUCAAAAUGCAAUCAAUUUCAAAACAGGUAUUGAUUAUAUAUUUCAUAUAUUUCAUUUUAAAUAUGAUACAGUAUUGUUUUGGUUUCAGGGAAUCUUGAUGGUAGGGGCGAUUAUACAGAUGAUAUAUUUGGUUUUUUACAAGUUAAACUGUACACUUGAACUGGAUGCAUUUUAUAUAAGUAUGAUGUCAACAUGGAUAUACAAUAUUAAUAUACCAUUAAAUAUUAAAAAGUAUCUAAUAAAUAAAAACACUAACUUGUUGCAAAAAGAAUAAAAACCACUAAAUAGAUUAAUAAAUAAUAAUUAAAGUGGUAGUCAAAGACUACUUAACUUAUUAAAAAGAUGCCCAUAGCUUCACAGGUCAGUUUUCCUAAAUGUUUUAAGCAUAUGUAAUUAUCUUCUACAAGUUGUCACAACAAAUUAUAAAAGAGCAAAAAUUACCCAAAUCGCUUUUCUAACCCGUUGUUACUUUAAUUAACAAAGUGUACUCAGAAAAUACAAAGCAAGGAAAUUACAGGACUUCUUCAUUUGUAAUGACAGAUAAAAAUUCUUAAGAAAAUCCUAAGUAACUGAUUUCUAUUGUACGUAACAAUAAUAAUGAUUUUUAAAAAUCAGGAUAAAAUGCAGUGUUUUAUUUGCUCACAUUUAAGUGAGUUGAUUAAAUUGAUCUCUAGUAUGGAACUUAUGAGCAACUGUGUAGAUUUUGUUUCAGUUCCUCCCAAACAAUUUCAUCUGGCCCUCAGCAUGGUGUGGAUGAUCGGUGUUAGUAGAAGCCAAUCUUCCUUUAUUCAGACUCUGUGUCCAUCAAAUGGAGCCUUUAGGAGAUUAGAAUGAACAUAUUACAUUCAUUUGGAAAUACAAGCAUCACCUGUAUAUCAAUCAUUACUUAAACUAGGACCAUCCAAAUGACCUGUGGGAACUGACUGAUUUAUCUUCAAGAUCAAUCUGAAGGUGAACUAAUGUGAUCUUUUCCUUUGAUUUCCUUUAUUAGUCAAAGUUCUGUCAGUUCAAUAAAUAGAUAUGUUAUAUGUAACUACUCACAAAGUAGAUGGAAAAGAAGAAACGCAAACAUCAUCCUUGUUAAAACCUAUGAAAUUAGAGACUAGAGUUGUCUGCCAAGAGAUGGAACUGAGGAACAAAUGUAGCCACUUUGAGAAUUCCCAUUCAAGAAUCCUCAGAGUGGGAAGUAUGAUCCAGCUUUCAUUUUGUCCGCAUACUCCAGUGUGCUGCCAUUGAUUCUUGGAACUAGACAGGAACUUACCUGAGAUACAAAGUGUACACUGCUCACUUUUGUUGAUACAUGCAUCAAAUAUAUGAUAUCCAAUUUUUUUUUUUUUUUGGUACUGGGGAUCAAACUUGGGUCUUUGCACUUGAGAGGCAGGCAGCAGAACCACUGAGCUAAAUCCCCAGCCCCUUCAAAUACAUGAUAAUAAAAACAUUUUUUAUAAAAAGAUCAGGUUAGAGACAGGAUGAGUUUGAGGACAAACAAGAUAUAAUCAACACAAUUUCUUUUUAUAUCUGUCAGCUGACCUUUUCUCAGAUGAUGAUAGAUAAUUUUUCUAGGAGGAAAAAUACACUUUAUGUUUACCAAAAUAAGACUGAUAAAUUUAUUUCUUGUCUCAGUCACAAGUAAACUUACUACCUGAUCUGUAUUUCUAUCACUCAGUAACAAAUGUUCGCUUUUACCUGAAUGAAUGUAACAUUUUUAAUAGUAUGAACAAAAUGAGGAAAACUGAUUAAGAUAGUAGUUUUCUCUCCUUAUGCCUUCAUAAUCCUUUGUUUUCACCCUGAAGCAGAUGAGCAUUCAUUGUCAGGGAGCUAUUGAUGACCCAUCUUUAGGUGCAGGCAACAGAUAUUCGAAGAGAGUGAAUACACACAGCCAAACAGGUGGCUUGAUAUGAAGGUUUAAAUCCAUCCCCUUGCCCCACACACAAAAUUUAUUUUCAUGCUUGCUCUAUCGAGUGGAAAGAGAUGGGAAUAUAUUAGAUUUCUGUGGAUGCUACAACAAAUUACCACAAUCUGUUCAACAUAAAAUGAAAACAAAUCGUUCUUUAAGUUCUGGAAAACAAAAGUCUGAAGUUAAGAUGUUUCAAAGACCUACUCCCUUCAGACUCUUCCUGUCACCUGGCUUUUCCUGGCUGUUAGUGACCUGGAAAGAAUUCACUUGGACUAUCUCACCAGUGAUGUGAGACCAUGCACAAGUGAGGAAGUGGUUUCAAAGCAAGUUUAUUGCAAAGUAGGAUAUGGUUAGAAGGCAAGCUGGGAUGCCACCAUAGUCUUUGUGACCCCAUUUGUUAUGUUUUUUUAAAUUUUUCUAUACUUCUUGAUGUGGGGUAUUUCCCACUCUACUCCUUCAGACAUAUGAUUUACCCCUGCCCUACAUUCAAUUUUGAAGUAUGCAUAUAUUUUCCAAUCAUUCUUCUGUAAUUAAUGGCAUACAUGAGAUGUGGUGCCUAUGUAUGAAGCCAUAAGCAUAUGAUGAGGAGGAUAGGUCAACCCAAGGACACUUGGGGCAAUCAGUGCACAUGGCCUGCUCGGUGGACAGUCCGUAGCUCUCUUUUGUGUGUAGUCUAUGGUCACCUCUCCACUUAGGGUUCUCUUUGACUUGUUGAGAUGCUCUCAUACCUUGGCCCCUUCCCAUUAUUAAACAAAGCUAAAUAUUAUUCCCAUUAUUAAACAAACACAGUUCAACCAUCCUUGACCACCUGCCACAAGAACUACCUGCACCAUGUUAACAGUUCUAGAGACCACCUCCUACUGCUCAUAUAUGACUCUCUUUCUAUAUUAUCAUUCAUAUUCUAGCUUCUAGGAACUAUCAGUCUCCUUAACUUUCUCAACUUAGUGGCCAUUGUUCAUCAUCUAUUUGUCACUAUAACAAACAAACAAAAAAAGAAAAUCAAUUAAAGAGGAAAGUUUUGCUUUGCCUCACAGUUUUAGUGGUUUCAGUCCCUGACCACCUGAUUGAAUUGCUGUGUGCCUGUGGAAAAGCAGAAACAUCAUGGUGAAAGAGCAUGGCAGAGGAAAGCUGCUCAUCUUAUGGCAGUAGGAACCAGAGACAGUGAGAAAAAGCCAGAGAGGAAGGACAGAGGACUAGAUUUAUUUCCUAAAACCACAAGCCCAUGAUGUAUUUCUUUUAAUUAAGUCUCACCUCCUAUUUUCAUAACCUCCUCAUAAUGCCAUCAAGUAUGAUCUCAUCAAUGGGUUAAUCCAUUUGGUAAAAUUAUAGCCCUCAUGAUCUGAUCACUUCCCAAAAAGCCCAUGAACUACAACCAAGUUUUUUAGCCAUGAGCUUUUGGAGGACAUUUCAAAGCCAAAUUACAACAGGGUCCAUCGAUCUAACCUCUGACUUCUUCACAUCCCGUCUUCUCUUUGGUUUGUGUAUUUUUCUUAUUUGUUGUCUAAAAUUUCCCUCUGCCUUUCUCUCAUAAGGAACCAUGUCAUUUUGGGGUCUAUUCCUAUAAUAGUAGAGUAUCACAUAUUAAAAUUUUUGACAUAAAGUCCCCUUUUCCAAGUGGAGUAGCUUUUAAGAUGUCUUCAUUUUGAAAGGUAAACUGCAAGACUAAUAAAAUUUAGCUUCAAUAUAUUUCUCUCUUGGAAACAGAAAGAUCAAAACAAAUUUAUCUUCUCUUACAAACUUUGACUUAUGUUAGUUUCCAAAGUUUUACUUUUGCUUCUACAAUGAUACUUCUUUAACUAGAGCCAUCUAUUUUUGGGGAAUUAAUACAGAGCUCCAGAAGGGAUUCCAAUUGCAAUACCAAAUUGCACUGAAACAGAUUAAUUCAGGAGGCCUAUUUCCAUGCUUUGCACACACCUAUAAUACAAUGUACACAUGCAUCAAUGUGACUGUGUAGGCUGUCGACCUGGGAAAAUGUCAGGAUGAAAAGAUAUAUAAGGUACACAUACAAGUCUUAAUUUUUCACAGACCUCAUAUAUUCUCCUCUGCUGGCUACUCCAGGAAAUGACUGUAGCAAAUUGGUGGCAACUACUAAUUUCAGACUGCUGUGCUAAGCCUAGCAAAAGUACACAUGACUACUGUACCAUGUUGGAAAUAGAGAAGCACAAUAAAAUUGCAAACUUGUCUAACUAGUUGAGAAAUACUCAAGGGUCAUUUUGAAUGACAGUCUUCUAGCUCUGCACAAAGUAUAAGCUAAUCCCAGAAAAUGGAAUCCCCAUAGAAAAAAAUCAGUAUACUUCAUCAUUUGAUAUUGCUAUAUGCCACAUUUUUUUGAUAUACAUUUUUUUAAGGGGAAAUGGUUUAUUUGGUUUACAGUUUGUAGAGGUUUCAGUCCAUAAUUGUGUGGCUCCAAAGAAGGGUGACAUGGCAGACAGGCCUUCCAGAGGAAAAAUAGUUCAUGGUGCCCACACAGUAGCAAAAGCAACAAAUGACCUUAAGAGCAUUUUUUCUGCCCCUUUUAUCUUAUUCAGAAUUUAAGGUGGGUUGUAGUGCCCUCAAGCCUAGCCCCACCAUGAAUCAAUCACACACUCUAGAUUCAGCCACUUCCAUAAUAGCCCCACUUCAUUCUUAUGAGGCUUUGGGGGAAACAUCUAAACACAAGCCAUAACAUUCUUCCCCUGGUCCCUCAUAGAUUCAUGUACAUUCCUUUACUCAAAAGGCAUUUAGUCCAUCUCUAAGAGUAUUGGUGAAAAGUUUCAGUAUUGGUGAAAAGUCCAAAUUCAAUGUCUCCUCUGCAAUUUAAGGCAAAAUGGCAAACUGGCAAACUCUUAGCUGCAAGCCCCUGUACAAAUGGAAAGAAAGUUAAACACUUCCAACAUUCAGUGGCACAGCACAAGAUAGACAUUCCAAAAGUUACAGACAGGAAGAUACAAAGGAAUGGGAACAAUGCAAGUCCAAAACCCACCAGGGCAAACACUAAAUCCCACAGUUCUACUUCCAGCAUACCCAGCAAGUUAUGAACUCCAAAGGGCUUAGUGGCUCUGCCCCUGACACAUUUCUGUGGUUGUAGCUUCCAUGGCUCCCUUCUUGGGCUGGCUAUGCUCCCUCCUUGCAGUUUUCCUCAGAAGAUCUAUGAUCCUGGCUUCUCCAACAUUUGCGGUCUCUACUGCACUUUUGGUUUCACACUCACAGGUUCAAACACUGCCCUCUCAGGGGCACACUGCCUGGCCUCCCAGGCCUUCUUCUGAAAUAUGGGUGGAAGCCUUCCUGACCACAAAACUCUUGGAUUCUGAAUGCUCCUGAAACCAGCACCAUAUGGAUGACACCAAGGUCUGCUGCCAGCUGGAGCUGUAGCCAGGCUUCCUUCUCUCUUAGUUGAAAGGGUGGCAUGGCAGCUAUGUGCCUAUGAACCAAAUCCCUAGGAACAACAUCCCUAGGCUGUUGUCAUUCUGGAGCAUGGUGCUCUGGGGAUCUCUUCUGAAAGCCAAGCCCUUCACUUUUGCAAUUUUGAGGUUUCAAAGGCUGGAGUCCUGCUGUUGCUUAUAAUGUCCUUAGGCCAUCUUUUCUAUUCUCCUGCCCCUUCUCAGCAAUCAAGAUUUACUCUGUUCUGUCUUUGCAGUUCACAGCUUUACUGGAACUUCCUUUCUAGCCACACUCACAGAAUUUUAAAUCAUUCCUCUGGGCUUUUUGCUCUUGAUUCUCAACCUAGAUCUGGCUAAAAGCCCUCAACAGCAGCCACACCAUGGCCUCCACAAUAGCCUGCCUUGAAAUUUCUUCUGUGAAAUUAAUUAGUCCACCACACUUAAUGUCAGUCUCAAGGAAAGCCUCUGAACAUGAGCAAAAUGCAGACAAAAUUUCUGCCAAGCUUAACACACAUCUUCUGGAGUCCAAUAGCCAAUGUGAUCCUUCAUCCGAGCAGUAACCUCCUGAGCCUGGUUUUUAUCAGUCUUCUCCUCUUCUGAGCUCUGAUCAGAACUUCUCAUACAGAACAGCUUAAGAUGUUCCAGUUCUACAUCUACAGCCAGCCUCUCCAACUCAUUCCUUUCCUUUUCCACAAGCAAGUUCCAAAGGCUCUUGAGCCACUUGGCCAGGUAAUGUCACAGCAACAACCCCACUCUCAGUACCAAAUUUCUGGGUUAGUUACUUUUCUCAUUGCUGAAACAAAAUACCUGGCACCCAAAGUUAAAAGGGAAAGGGUUUAUUCGGCAAACAGUUCAUAGAGGUUUCAGUCCAUAAUUGUCUGGCUUCAAGGAAGGGUGGCUUGGCAGACAAGCCUUCCAGAGGCAAAAUAGUUCACGGUACCCACACGGUAGCAAAAGCAACAAGAGACUUUAAGAGCGUUUUUUUCUUCCCCUUUUAUUUUAUUCAGACUACUUAGGGUGGGUAGAACUCAUACCCUUAAUCUUAGUGCUCUCAGGCCUAGCCCCACCAUGAUUCAAUCACACAUUCUAGAUUCAGCCACCUCCAAAAUAGCCCCACCUCAUUCGCACAAGGCCUUGGGGCAACAUUUAAACACAAACCAUAAUAUAUAGUGAGCUGCUUAAGUCUCAAAUUAUACAAAAAGCUUGAGUCAUUAUCAGCCACAGCAGGGCAUAGAGCUCCAUGUCACUCCCCAGAUACACACCUCACACCCAUGUGCCCAAUGUGACGAAGCUGGGGAAGAUACUUCUCAUUCACACAGCUCAGGGAUAGAAAUAAAAGAGGCUGCUCCUGCCCAAUGUCACCUAAGAAACAGAGCCUGCACUUAUUCAUCAGUUCUGCCUCACUCCAGAACCCAAGUCUUCACUCCUAUGCUAUGUAUGACAGACCAUAUAUCAGGUCCUGAGGACACAGUGGUAACCAAAACAAGCAAGACCCUGUCUCUAUAAAGCUGCCCAACCAGUUUGGACAGUUAUUUUUAGAACUGUUUACACUAAUGGAAAAGCAUAUACUACCAGGAAAUCCUAACCUGGGGAAGACUUCUCUUACAAAGUGGUAUUCAAGCUCAGACCUAAAGUAUAAGCAAGAGUUGGCCAGGGGAGGAGUAGAAAAU
RNAcentral lists this long non-coding RNA (11408 nucleotides) under Heterocephalus glaber (naked mole-rat). RNAcentral describes it as "lncRNA (ENSHGLG00000050131.1)". The record is from RNAcentral. Lineage: Eukaryota; Metazoa; Chordata; Mammalia; Rodentia; Bathyergidae.